Molecule: long non-coding RNA, 338 nt
Filed under: Olea europaea (common olive)
Lineage: Eukaryota; Viridiplantae; Streptophyta; Magnoliopsida; Lamiales; Oleaceae
Description: long non-coding RNA (OEUR_LNC000572)
Source: RNAcentral
AAACCCGGGUAUGGGAUCUUUGGAAAAUAGAAGGCAGCAAGAAAGCCAAGAAGAAUUUGCCAUCGGAAGAAAAGAUUUCGCAAAAUGGAUAUGCCAGUGAGCAGAGAAAUGAUGACGACAGAGGUACGGAAAAGGAAGAGGAAGCACCUGCGCCUAUAUGAGGCUCAUGGCGGAUAAAGGGAAGAGGAAGCACCUGCUCCUAUAUGAGGCUCAUGGCGGAUAUUUCUUGUACACGCUGUAACAUUGAACAGCUCAGUAGUUCUUUUUAUGUGUAGUUGAGCAUUAUCUGAAUACAAAGAAAAUGUGAAAUUCAAACUAGGACUGUUUUUUGUUCUUUU